AUUGAACGCUGGCGGCAUGCCUUACACAUGCAAGUCGAACGGCAGCACGGGUGCUUGCACCUGGUGGCGAGUGGCGAACGGGUGAGUAAUACAUCGGAACAUGUCCUGUAGUGGGGGAUAGCCCGGCGAAAGCCGGAUUAAUACCGCAUACGAUCCACGGAUGAAAGCGGGGGACCUUCGGGCCUCGCGCUAUAGGGUUGGCCGAUGGCUGAUUAGCUAGUUGGUGGGGUAAAGGCCUACCAAGGCGUCGAUCAGUAGCUGGUCUGAGAGGACGACCAGCCACACUGGGACUGAGACACGGCCCAGACUCCUACGGGAGGCAGCAGUGGGGAAUUUUGGACAAUGGGCGAAAGCCUGAUCCAGCAAUGCCGCGUGUGUGAAGAAGGCCUUCGGGUUGUAAAGCACUUUUGUCCGGAAAGAAAUCCUUGACUCUAAUACAGUCGGGGGAUGACGGUACCGGAAGAAUAAGCACCGGCUAACUACGUG
Molecule: ribosomal RNA, 486 nt
Filed under: uncultured bacterium
Lineage: Bacteria
Description: partial 16S ribosomal RNA
Rfam family: Bacterial small subunit ribosomal RNA
Source: RNAcentral